This is a non-coding RNA of Mycena maculata, 84 nucleotides long. The record is from the annotation of a GenBank genome assembly. Lineage: Eukaryota; Fungi; Basidiomycota; Agaricomycetes; Agaricales; Mycenaceae.
GACACCGUAGUAUACUGGUAUGCGCUGGAUUGCAGCUUUUUGGUAGGAUCUUCCAGAGCCCUGGUUCAAUUCCUGGCUAUGUCA